This 1773-nucleotide long non-coding RNA is filed under the name Phasianus colchicus (ring-necked pheasant). RNAcentral describes it as "lncRNA (ENSPCLG00000001430.1)". The record is from RNAcentral. Lineage: Eukaryota; Metazoa; Chordata; Aves; Galliformes; Phasianidae.
AGUUACACAAGAAGGAACUGAAGCUCUCAGAGAAACAGAAGCUCUUAAAUUUUGGCAGCAUUCAGUAAACUGUCUCACAUUAAUAAAUAACUGACAUAAUUUUAAACUUCUUUCUCCUUUACAGAUGCCUCUCACUUGGCAGCUGGCCUCUUUGCAGCCAAGACAGGAGUAAAAAUUCCCAAUGAUUUCAGCUGGCCUUAGGGUCAGGAGGCUGCAGUGGGAUGGCAGGAUGCAGCACUGGGGGGAGCAGAGAGCAAUAGCUAUUCAGAGAAGACCCCAGUGAAAAAGACUUCGUGCUUCAGGAGAUGUGAAAAAUAUCUAGCUGGAAUGGAGAGAUGGCAACAAGGUCACCAAAUGGAUGCAGCCAGAUGCAAAGGGCAGAAGCCCUACCACUGAGUGCAGAAGUUUCUGACAUAAACAGUAUCCUUGGAAAUGACCCGCUGGUUAAAAACAAAGCAAUAAUAAAUCCCUGCGAAAAACAGUGCUCUGAGUUUCCAUGAAUGUCAUUACCUUCAAAAGCCAUCACAGCCUGUGCUGUGUUAGGGUGGCACUGCGGAGAAGACAGUGGUUGGAAAGGAGGGCUGGCAACAAUGAAGUUACACAGAGAUACCAUCAGAUUAUGUCCAGGGGUCUUUAUCGCUGCGGUACCAGAUUUCCCUGUGCAGGAGCAGAGUUAUCCUUGCAACACCUCUGUGAUAUGGGCAGGCUUUCAUCCCAACUGACUGAUGGAGAGUCGGGGCAUGCUGACAUCUGGCACAUAAAAAUCAAUGCUGUGUUUUGAGAAUGCAGGACGGGAGAUAAAGCACCUUCCCCCACUUACAGAUGCUGCAUUCACAAAAAAAAAAAAAAAAAAAUUAAAAAAAUGCAAGAAUCAUCACAAUUCAUAAACGCAAUCACAAACAGGCACAGUGCCCCCAGCGUCUCUUCCCAAGCUCUUUAAAGCCAGAACUUAUUUUUCCUUUUGGAAAAAAUGCAAAGCGCCGCAGGUAGAGCCCAAGCUUUUCCUUUUUGCAGACUGUCUGCGCUCGCAAGUUUUUGCUGGCUCUGCUAGUGACCAUUUAUUUUGGACUCACACCACACACUUCAGGUUUCAUUCUGCAUUUUUGCUGUAGCCAGAACUAAUACAAUUGGCCGCAUCUCAGCUUGCUUCAAAUAGACAAGGGAGUGGGUUUCCUGAGAGAAAAGGAAGAAACAACAUUAAAGAAAAAAGAGAAAGAGCUUGUUUAAAAAGUACUAUAAAGAUUUUGCCAUGUAAGAACGCUCUCUAAAGACUACGAAACCUACACGUUCAAGGGAUUGGAGUCUGACAAGGCAGAGGAUGAUGCAGAGUUUGCCUGUGCAGAAGCCCGCACCCAAAGGCACAGCCCUGGGUGUUCAAGGGAUCUCGGGCCUCCUGGCUCAGGCUUUCCAAAAAAAAAAAAAAAAAAGCUCCACUUCCACACAAACAGCCAGAACAGGUGGCCAGGAAUUCAAAAGAUUAUGAAGUCCUUUCAAAAAACAUUAACUCCUAAGUGCCAAAGAGGAGCAGUGCAAGUACACAAAUCUUCUGGAAAAACCAGUGACCCUGCAGGAGCUCUGACAGAUCCCAGCUCCCACAGACACAUUUCCAGCUGUGUUUUUUAACUGAGGACCUGAAGCUGCCCACGCUUGGAAUUCAUGGAAUCGUUAAGGUUGGUAAAGACCUCUAUGAUCAUCUGGUGACAGCAGCGGGGUCCAGGGGAAUGGCAUAUAGCUGCUUCAGGGGAGGAGCAGCUGGGGGUUAGGGAAAGGUUC